Long non-coding RNA from Monopterus albus (swamp eel), 4185 nucleotides. RefSeq lists it as uncharacterized. The transcript is spliced from 5 exons. Lineage: Eukaryota; Metazoa; Chordata; Actinopteri; Synbranchiformes; Synbranchidae. The record is from RefSeq and is a predicted model, not a curated record.
GGAGGCUGAGGAGUGUGAUCCCCCUAUAGUUGGAUUUACACUGAUGAGUCAAAAUGUUAAGAUCAACACUGAUGUGCUAGACCACUGUCAGUAGGCGCUCACCACUGCUGACCAGGACCAGGUUCUAAACCCUGGCCAGAGGCACUCAGGUCUGCACAUGGACUCUGGAUCUCAAUUUGUGCUGCAGAAUUGUUCAAUAUGAAGGAGGAGUACAGAGAUCCCCCCUUUCAUGAAAGGGGAAGGAAGAGUAAAAGGAGCCCCUUUUUGAUAUGAGCCUCCCUGAGGGGCUCUCCUGCUACUAAAGAAUGUUAGAAGUUCAAGUUCCAGCCAGUAGCCCUUGAAAGCUGACCUGGUCUGCCACAUGUCCUCUGUCACCAGCCAGCAAGGACAAGGGCAGGCAGGCUGGGCAAAAUCAGCCAGUGCAUGAAGAAUCUACCUGACCUGAGGUUCAGAGGGUCCUAACAGACCAGGACACCUCUGGAGUACACCUCUAAAUAUCAGCACAGAGUGGAGUAUGUGCAGAUAUUGCUGAAUGGGCAAGGAGCUGUGGUGAGGAGCAGCUAGGAUGGCACAGUGAUGGGCCUCACCUGUAAUGGCAUAUCUCAGCCACUCCUUAUCGAUCAGCUCUGCCCCAGAACACUCGUCUAGGCUCCGGGCAGUGGGCUGAGGGGGCGGGGCCCUGGAUCCCAUUGCCACAGUGCCCUUGGUGAAGGCCGGUGUCCAGUGACAAGAAGCACAGUGGAGUGAGAGAGUGGAGGGGAGCUGCUUUGAUGGAGGUACAGUACACACAGAAUGUCAUCAGUGGAGCAGGAAAUACCCACUUCUUUGUGUUGAAGUACAUUUGUGGCAUGCAGCAUGUUCAUUCUGUAAGUUUCUCUACAUUAAUAUAAUUGUAAUAAUAGUCUUAAACAGCCACUCUACAUAUUUUGCACUUUCAUAAAACCGAGGGACUCCUGAGAAACAUAUUCAAAGAGGAGUGGCAAAAUUGAUAUCCUGACUUUUAGUUCCUAGCAAUUAAAAAAAAAACUUGAUCCUACAAUUCACAUAAUCCAACUGGAAACCAUGUUUUAUUAGACCCUCUCUGAUAAAUGUCUUUCAAACUCAGUUCCCCAGUUUUUAAAGUAGAAUUUGUUUCAUUCAUUGAGGAAGGCCAUUAGUCCCACUGCUCCACUGAGCAUUUUCCAAGUGUGAAUGUGUGUAACUGUGCAAAUGUGAACAAAGUGUUCAUGUAAAAAAGAGAGGUUGCUUUCAGUAAGCUACCCCAAAUAAAUAAAAGCUAACAAAUGGUAAAAUUGGAGCAGUCAUAAACCCUAAUUUAAUCCACCAACAAGCCAAUUGUUGUUAUUUUAAACAUGAUCCUAAAUUACUAGACUUAUUUGAGCCACUAUUUCUAAUAUAUAGCCAUUUUCACACAUGAACUCUGGACUAUGGCUCUGUUCAGACUUGGCAUUAACAAGCGUCCUGGAAAAUCUGAACACAAGUAGCCAGCUCUAAGAGCACGCGGUCACACCUGGCAUUAAAAUGCAUAUCCAAAUGCGUCCUGAGUGAUCGGAUCUGACCUCUCCCACUCUAUAUGCAAAUUAACAUGUACAUCAUUUCCACUUUUGUGUCUUUAUCAUCAUAGAUCAUGUGGAAAAUUAGGCUGAUAUGAUUCACGCAUAAGGGUGGUUGGGCAUUAAUUUAUUCUAAUAAAGACUGCUGCAUGCAGUUCUUGCCAUCACCACUGAAGCAUGACGAUGCAGUAAACGUCACUUUAAUUCAAAAGUCACCAAAUCACUAUCUUGAUCAAGUCAGUUGUCUUAAAACUAAAAAAGAACCACAUUCCUCACACAGUUUAUUUUGGCUGCAUAUCAUAUGGUGUCAAAAAGAAAACAAGGCACCAUUUUAUGGCGCACCGAGUGCAGCGUAAUCUCCACUCACUAUUGUCUAAAUCACCCACGUCCCCAGUUAUUUUUUGUUGCCAAAUUUUUUACUGGUGUCUGUUAUGAUUACAUGCACAAAGCCUACAUGAAAACUAUUGUUGUCCAGUACAUUUCUGCUGUCAAUUUGCCUGGUGAAGAUUAUUUCAACUGCAAAGGAAGCCAUUCCAUCAUUCUGCAAGCUGUUGGGGAUCACUGUCGGUUAGUAGCACACACAUACCCAGUGAUAGAAGCUAUGCAAAUGUCCUCUGCUGUAUGUCUUUUCAGUUAUAAUGUAUAAAUAGCGCAAAAACAUAUAUGUUAACAAGCCAACGGUGUUAGUUUAGUAGUCGUUCCCUCAAUCCAUCCCAGGACACAUUGAUGCUCAGACUAAAAAGAGAAUGUGGACACAAGUGUCCCAGACCACUUCUGAAUUCAUGCCGAACAAUCAGGUUUGAAUCCAUCCUGGAGUGUGUUCAGACCUGGCAGGAGGUGGGACAUGAUAUGGUCAGGUAGCUAUUUUGCAAUUUGAUCAUAAACAACCAAGUCUCUUGCCUUUUCUGAUGAUUCUGGCACCAGUUCUUAAUGACAGAAGUUUGUAAAUCACAUUGUGUCUCCACUUAGAUAUUUUCGUUGGUGUCUUCAUUGUAAAUGACCAUUUUAUUUCACCAUUGACUGUAUUCCUCCAGCUUCGCACAGGUCAAAUGAUAGAACGCCAUCAACAAGGCCAUGCCUCCAUGCCAGUGACAGCCACAGCAGGGGACAUCAGGUUUUGUCUGUCCGGCCCAUUCUUGUAAACUCGAUAUGUCACCUUGAGAGAAUUUCUUCAAAUUUGUGUCCACUUGGACACAAGAAUGAAAUGAUGAACUGGAAGCAGUAAUUCUAGGUCCAUCAUGUUUUUGGAUUACAAUGAUACCUCCUUGGAUCACUGAUGAUAGUUACCACUGGUAAUCAGGAGCUAUCAACAAGUCUUGUCAGUCACUCAGGUUUUUACACUGGUCCAUUUCUCCCAUAUCAAAGACAAUGAGCAAGAACUGACUCUUCACUUACUGUCUUAUAUACACCUUGACAAGCAUGAUUGUUACAAGAUAAUCAGUGAUAUUUGUUGCAUCUGUGAGUGAUAAUAAUGUUUUGGCUCACUGGUAUAUGAAACUGUAAAAGAUAUUUAAAUUUGAUAAACAGUGGCGUUUGACUGUUUCUCUCAGUGUAGGAAUUGUAUUGCAUCAAUCGUGCUGCAAUUAGGUAAUUUCAAAUCCAUUUAAUAAAAGCACAAUUUAAUAGGUUUAACAAUUAUGCUAACCCUUUAGAAGUGAGUGCUGGCCAAAGUGUUGUCAGUGGUCUAAACAAGAGUAGGAGUACAAGAACACACACACACACACACACACACACACACACACACAAAGAAGACAGGGUACACACUAUAUAUUUUCAGAAAAUCAGGAUAUCUGUACAUGAGCACAUGCUUAAAAAUGCACAGUCGCACUGUGUAAAUCCUCAGUGUCUGUCUCUACUCCCUUGUGACCCCAUCUAGCUGCUCCUCACUUUUUUUUGACACAUCAGAUGAAGAAGAGGGUGGCAUCGGUGGGAGGAGGUGGAGGCGAGCCAGUCGUCCUAUCGGGCGCCACAUUUCUCACUCGGUUAACACCUCGCUGGAGAAACAGGAUGCCAGGCUUGGACCCAACCCCCACCCCCCCAGCUUCAUCCAGCUAAACACACACUUAAUGUAUUUGUGACACUAAAGACAGUGUUUCACUUUCAUGUUACCCUUAUCCUUUCAAUGAGUCUUCCUUGACCUUUAAUCUACUUUUACUAAAGUUUAGCUGCUCCAAACUCUCUGAACUUCACAGAUCAGAUCCCAUGUAUUUAAAUGUUUUUAAUCAGCUUUCUUUUAUAAACAAGUCAUGCUGAUCCUUUCUCUAUUUGUUCUUGGCAACUUGUUUCUGAAAGCUGCCUGAUAAGAAGACCUAUGGGGAAUUUGUCCAACUGGGUAACUUAGUAAUACAGUAAGUGACUGGACAUGGUGGGAACAUAGACACCGAAACAGGCAUUUUCUAUGGCAAAUUAUAUGUCUGUGGUAGUCCAAACCAUGACCUUUUCUUAAUCUUAACCAAAAUGAUAGAGUCUAAACCUCAUGGAACACAGGAUGCAAACUCGAUACUUGGGUGUCAAAGUUAAGAACUCUGAGGGUGCUGGAUUUUGUUGAGUAAAAUUGUGUUUCUGGUGAAUGUAAUCCAUGCAGCUGUUAGGUUAUUUUUUAGUUAGAUAGAUAUUCAGAGAUUUGUUGUCU